RNAcentral lists this ribosomal RNA (140 nucleotides) under uncultured bacterium. RNAcentral describes it as "partial 16S ribosomal RNA". It matches the Rfam family "Bacterial small subunit ribosomal RNA", at positions 355 to 511 of the family's 1533-position model. The record is from RNAcentral.
UGGGGAAUAUUGGACAAUGGGCGAAAGCCUGAUCCAGCAAUGCCGCGUGUGUGAAGAAGGUCUUCGGAUUGUAAAGCACUUUCGACGGGGACGAUGAUGACGGUACCCGUAGAAGAAGCCCCCGGCUAACUACGUGUCAG